RNAcentral lists this ribosomal RNA (498 nucleotides) under uncultured bacterium. RNAcentral's name for it is "partial 16S ribosomal RNA". It matches the Rfam family "Bacterial small subunit ribosomal RNA", at positions 28 to 507 of the family's 1533-position model. The record is from RNAcentral.
GACGAACGCUGGCGGCGUGCCUAAUACAUGCAAGUCGAGCGGACGGAUGGGAGCUUGCUCCCAGACCGUCAGCGGCGGACGGGUGAGUAACACGUGGGCAACCUGCCUGUAAGACUGGGAUAACUCCGGGAAACCGGGGCUAAUACCGGAUAACUCUUUCCCUCACAUGAGGGAAAGCUGAAAGAUGGCAUCUCGCUAUCACUUACAGAUGGGCCCGCGGCGCAUUAGCUAGUUGGUGAGGUAACGGCUCACCACGGCGACGAUGCGUAGCCGACCUGAGAGGGUGAUCGGCCACACUGGGACUGAGACACGGCCCAGACUCCUACGGGAGGCAGCAGUAGGGAAUCUUCCGCAAUGGACGAAAGUCUGACGGAGCAACGCCGCGUGAGUGAUGAAGGUUUUCGGAUCGUAAAACUCUGUUGUCAGGGAAGAACAAGUACCGGAGUAACUGCCGGUACCUUGACGGUACCUGACCAGAAAGCCACGGCUAACUACGUG